CAAGAUGGCGGCGCGGGGAGGCCGUGUGGCGUUUGAUGCUUCAAGCUCUCCGCUGAUUGGCGGGUCAACUGAGGCGAACGUAAAGCUGACGCUUUGCGCCCGUGACUAGUCAAAGGUCGCAGGCAGCAAUCAAGGUCAACCAGCACAUCAUACACGUGAUCCUCUGGUUCUACAGCGCGCUCGCAGACGAGCGUGCGUGUUUCGACAAGUUGAGCGAAUUCCUGCAAGGCGCGUCUGGGACCUGCAGCGGCCUGCAUGCCACAGUGAGGGGCGGGGCCCCAAUGAGGGGCGGCGCCUUCGUCUGCAGAGCACAAUCCUGUGAAGCCCGUCAUGUUCUGGUUACUUCUGAAGAAAUGGAUCCAUGUGGCAACUUGCCAGUUACCAAAAAAAAAGUAAAGAAAAGUCAACAGAUGUUUAUUUGAAUUUCAAUUCUUGUUUAUAAAAGAGAAAGGAAACAAGCUUUCAACUUUUGUACAUGAGCCGCAGCUGAAAUUACAAAAUUUGACCUGAUGGGGGCGCCGCUGGACAUGAUUUGAUCCGGCCGUUCCUUUUAUUUUAUUGCGCACCUUAUUUAUGGUAUAAUUAGAAACAUUAAAUGGCAUGCCAACAAGCUCAUUAGUAAACAUGUUAACAUGUAUAACUGCCAUUGUUUCUACGGGGAAACGAAAAGUGAUUACUUCAGAGAGAGAAUGUAUAUGCGUGUAUAUGUGAGGUUGUGACAUCAUCGCUGAACCUCGUGUACGUUGCCAUAGAAACACGGCAGCCGACACAUAAAUAGCACAUAUUUGGCACCCUCUAGCGGCAGCACAUGGAACUGCCGCGUUAAUGAAGCGCACAGCAACUCAGUGGUAUAGGAUUAAUAAACCAUGACGUCAUGAUUACGGAGAGAGUUGAUGCAUGAAGUGAAUGUGGACUUUCAGUUCAAGUUUAUUAACUGAUACAUUAACUUGGCCCAUCAGCUUCAGACAAAGUGGACAAAUAACACCAUUCAGUGAGUCACAUCAGGAUGCGAUGGUGCUGAAUGAUUGGCGCUACAAGAUCACUGUUUUAGUCUUCACACAUUUCACGAGCAAAAAAACAAAUUACUUCACCCGCCCCGAGUCAUCAAUGUGGUUUCUACGAGUCAGCGCGGGUCGACCAUGAUGAAGACAGGGGCAGCUACAGUCCUCUUCAUCACUUCUUGAGGCCCAAAGACAAGCUGAAAGACAACGCAGCCUUGAACAAUACUGCAACCAGCCAGCAGAGGCCCAUAGGUCUAUCAACACAAUUUUCUCAGUGACUGUUUGCAUGCACUAAAAUAGUUGGAUUCCCCCAAUAAUUAGGUGUCUUCAUUCUUCACACUUCGAUGUGAAGUCCCAGUGUACAUGUGGUCCCUAAUUCAAAAUCGACUUGCAAAGUAAAUUUCCUCUAAUUUUCACUACUAUUAACUCCAAUACCGCCCUCU
This is a long non-coding RNA of Dunckerocampus dactyliophorus (ringed pipefish), 1444 nucleotides long. RefSeq lists it as uncharacterized. The transcript is spliced from 2 exons. NCBI's taxonomy places the organism in Eukaryota, Metazoa, Chordata, Actinopteri, Syngnathiformes, Syngnathidae. The record is from RefSeq and is a predicted model, not a curated record.